Molecule: ribosomal RNA, 274 nt
Filed under: uncultured bacterium
Lineage: Bacteria
Description: partial 16S ribosomal RNA
Rfam family: Bacterial small subunit ribosomal RNA
Source: RNAcentral
AUAGAGAGGGUGCGAGCGUUAAUCGGAAUUACUGGGCGUAAAGCGCGCGUAGGCGGUCUAUUAAGUCAGAUGUGAAAUCCCAGGGCUCAACCUUGGAACUGCAUCUGAUACUGGUAGACUAGAGUUUUGGAGAGGGAAGUAGAAUUUCAGGUGUAGCGGUGAAAUGCAUAGAGAUCUGAAGGAAUACCAGUGGCGAAGGCGACUUCCUGGCCAAAAACUGACGCUGAGGUGCGAAAGCGUGGGUAGCAAACGGGAUUAGAUACCCUAGUAGUCC